CAACCACCGCCAUCCUGAGCACAAGUCGCCUCUUUUCCCAGGUGUCACCUCAUCCCUGGCUUCCAAUCUCUCCCUCCCCACUACCAGCCUCUCAUCUCUGAACAUCCCUGGGACCACCAGGUCCAGGGGGAGCCACUGCCAUGGGAACAGGACCUGUGGCACACAAGAGGGGUCGUGCCCGAGCCUGCCCGACGCCACAUGGAAUCACAUCCGGGGCUGCAUUCCCUCCCUGUCCAGCCUCUCCCUGCUCUCCCACGGGUAAAGAGAGUCCAAGCUGCUCUCCAAAGAGUAACUUUUUGAAAGGAAGUACGAGCAUAAAUCAGCAGCUCUGAUUCAGCCCCGCUUCGGUUACUAAUAAUAUUCCCGUGUUUAUUCGCAGGCUCGGGGCUGGAGAUGUUUGCUUUUCCCUCGGCCGUGGUUUUCCCAGGCUCCCAGCUCACAGAGGAGCAUUGAUUUGGAUCUGCCAGGAUCUGGGAUGUGCUGCCAACGAUCCCUGAGGGAUGAAAAGCCUGGUGCCCAUCAUGAGGCACAGGGUGAAGGAGUUCCUCUGCACCCAGGAUGAACAGGAUGGCUCCAGCCCCAUGGAGAAUUGCUGGAAAGUACCCAGGACAAACAGUGCUGCCCCCAAGGGAGAACAACACGUUACAUCUCAGGGCAGGAUGUGCUGGAUGCACCUCUGCCAAAGCCACCACCAAACCACGGCAGCUGGCAAAAUAUCCUGGGGGAAUGAUGCUGCAGGGAUGCUCAACCCCAAGAGAGUAUCUUGAAGGGAGGCUGCUGUAACAAACAAGAGCUCAUCCCCUGGGAACCACUGGAAAGGGCCAGGAGGGCUCUUGGCCAUCCAGCAGUGCCUCUGCAGAUGGGAAUUUGUCCACAACAAGGGACACGUGACAGACCCCCAAGGCCACCAGUGCUCUGACGGGUGGCACACCCCAGGAAACAAAGGU
This is a long non-coding RNA of Catharus ustulatus (Swainson's thrush), 947 nucleotides long. RefSeq lists it as uncharacterized. Lineage: Eukaryota; Metazoa; Chordata; Aves; Passeriformes; Turdidae. The transcript has 3 exons. The record is from RefSeq and is a predicted model, not a curated record.